Molecule: ribosomal RNA, 2520 nt
Filed under: Triticum aestivum (bread wheat)
Lineage: Eukaryota; Viridiplantae; Streptophyta; Magnoliopsida; Poales; Poaceae
Description: partial small subunit ribosomal RNA
Source: RNAcentral
AUGACCGCCGCCGCGGCGCUCGUUCUGGCCGUGGCCGUGGCCGCCGCGCUCCUCGCGGGCGCGGCGGAGGCGUCCAGGCCCAAGUGGAACUUGACGAAGAAGGGGACGACCGUCACCUACGACAAGUACUCCCUCAUGAUCGACGGCAGGCGGGAGCUCUUCUUCUCCGGCGCCAUCCACUACCCGCGCAGCCCCACGCAGAUGUGGCCCAAGCUGCUCAAGACCGCCAAGGAAGGCGGCCUCAACACCAUCGAGACCUACGUCUUCUGGAACGCCCACGAGCCCGAGCCCGGCAAGUUCAAUUUCGAAGGCAGGAACGACAUGAUCAAGUUCCUCAAGCUGAUCCAGAGCUUCGGCAUGUACGCCAUCGUGCGCAUCGGCCCAUUCAUCCAGGGAGAAUGGAAUCACGGUGCAUUGCCCUAUUGGCUCAGGGAGAUUCCACACAUAAUAUUCCGCGCCAACAACGAGCCUUACAAGAGAGAAAUGGAGAAGUUUGUGAGAUUCAUAGUGCAAAUGUUGAAGGAUGAGAAUUUGUUCGCAUCUCAAGGAGGGAACAUUAUUCUAGCCCAGAUCGAGAAUGAGUACGGAAAUAUUAAAAAGGAUCAUAUAACUGAAGGUGACAAGUACCUUGAAUGGGCUGCUGAAAUGGCCAUUAGCACCAACAUUGGAGUCCCAUGGAUAAUGUGCAAGCAAUCUACGGCUCCUGGUGUAGUGAUUCCUACCUGCAACGGAAGGCACUGUGGGGACACAUGGAUAAUGAAAGACGAAAAUAAACCCCACCUUUGGACUGAGAACUGGACUGCACAGUUCAGAGCAUUUGGUAAUGAUUUAGCUCAGCGUUCAGCAGAGGACAUUGCAUAUUCCGUGUUACGUUUUUUUGCCAAGGGUGGGACAUUGGUAAAUUACUACAUGUAUUAUGGUGGAACAAAUUUUGGAAGGACGGGUGCUUCCUAUGUGUUGACUGGAUAUUACGAUGAAGGUCCCAUUGAUGAAUACGGUAUGCCGAAGGCGCCCAAAUAUGGGCAUCUCAGGGACCUGCACAAUGUAAUCAAGUCAUACAGCAGGGCUUUCCUUGAGGGGAAACAAUCAUUCGAGCUAUUGGGUCAGGGGUAUGAGGCACGCAACUUCGAGAUUCCUGAGGAAAAGCUAUGCUUGGCUUUCAUCUCCAACAACAAUACAGGGGAGGACGGAACUGUGAUUUUCCGAGGGGACAAGUACUACAUUCCGAGCCGCUCAGUUUCCAUCCUUGCAGACUGCAAGCAUGUGGUGUACAACACAAAGAGAGUGUUUGUUCAACAUAGUGAAAGGUCAUUCCAUAAAGCCGAAAAGGCGACCAAGAACAAUGUUUGGGAGAUGUUCUCAGAGUUGAUUCCGAGGUAUAAACAAACUACUAUCAGGAACAAGGAACCCUUGGAGCAGUAUAACCAGACCAAAGACCAAAGUGACUAUUUGUGGUACACCACAAGUUUUCGCUUGGAGGCAGAUGAUUUGCCCAUCAGGGGUGACAUCCGGCCUGUGAUUGCGGUCAAAAGCACUGCACAUGCAAUGGUAGGAUUUGUCAAUGAUGCCUUUGCAGGGAAUGGUCAUGGAAGCAAGAAAGAGAAGUUUUUCACGUUUGAAACACCCAUUAGUCUAAGAUUAGGUGUCAACCAUCUCGCGCUGCUGUCAUCAUCCAUGGGAAUGAAGGACAGUGGUGGUGAACUCGUUGAACUAAAGGGUGGCAUUCAGGAUUGCACAAUACAGGGACUCAACACGGGAACCUUAGAUUUGCAAAUCAAUGGCUGGGGCCAUAAGGCCAAAUUGGAGGGUGAGGUGAAGGAGAUUUACACGGAGAAAGGCAUGGGCGCUGUUAAGUGGGUACCGGCCGUGAGUGGACAGGCUGUCACCUGGUACAAGAGAUACUUUGACGAGCCAGACGGGGAUGAUCCUGUUGUCCUUGACAUGACUUCUAUGUGCAAGGGUAUGAUAUUCGUGAACGGCGAAGGCAUGGGUCGCUACUGGACGUCAUACAAAACUCCUGGCAAAGUCGCUUCCCAGGCAGUGUACCAUAUUCCACGGACAUUCUUGAAAUCCAAGAACAACCUAUUGGUUGUAUUUGAGGAGGAGCUUGGCAAGCCGGAAGGCAUACUCAUCCAGACAGUGAGGAGAGAUGACAUCUGCGUGUUCAUCUCGGAGCACAACCCUGCACAGAUAAAGCCAUGGGACGAGCAUGGAGGCCAGAUCAAGCUCAUAGCCGAAGACCACAACACUCGGGGAUUCUUGAACUGCCCCCCGAAGAAGAUCAUCCAGGAGGUAGUCUUUGCCAGCUUUGGCAACCCGGUGGGGUCAUGCGCCAACUUCACUGUAGGCACCUGCCACACUCCCAAUGCGAAGGAAAUCGUCGCGAAGGAAUGCCUCGGCAAGAAGGGGUGCGUGCUACCAGUGCUGCACACGUUUUACGGUGCGGACAUCAACUGCCCCACGACGACGGCCACACUGGCGGUGCAAGUGAGGUGCCACAAAAAGGGCGAUCCAGAAUAA